Molecule: long non-coding RNA, 794 nt
Filed under: Olea europaea subsp. europaea
Lineage: Eukaryota; Viridiplantae; Streptophyta; Magnoliopsida; Lamiales; Oleaceae
Source: RNAcentral
AUCUACAUUUUUGUCCAGCACUAAAGCAUGGCUCCUAAAUAUGAUAGUAAACAUGUGGGCCUUUCCUCUUUCAAUAGGAAUCCUCAUCUUUGAGAAUUAUAUCAGUCCUUAUUAUGUCCUCUGAAUAUGUUUCCUCAAGGAUCAAUAGACAAUAGCUAAAAAAAUUUUACAUUUUACUCAAACUCGCGCAUUUCAUGUUGAACUGCCUUGUAUAGAAAUUUCGGGAGAUUAAGUUAUGAGAAAAAAAGUUAUGUUUAAGGGCAUCGUAUUUACUAAUACACGUUUCUUCAAGGAUCAAUACGUAAAAUUAUCAUACCUGAGGGCCUCAUCAUAAUUAUUUGCUAGCCCUGAGAACCUAACCCCAAUAGUCCCUUUUCUACGGACCACCUGGAUGAGCCUUUCUUCGCCAACGAAUCUAGUUCACAGAUUCGCCUUUCUCCAUCAACAAGCCUAGUUUGCAGCUUUGCCUCACCGUGUGACUCCAACAAGGUACAUCAACGAGCCUGGAAGUUGUUACUAUGUAGAAUAUGUGGAUCCCUAGAUUCUUACAUUUGCUCAGCAGCUUAGCACUUUGAGGAUGACAGGAUUCAAGCAGCCCAGUUUCACACCGAACUACUUAUUUAAGCAAGAGGAAAUCUCUUUUAAUGUGGAUGAGGAAUUUAAUUCAACAACAUAGGUGGUGUGCUCUAAACUGCCUGCAAGGAGCCACGUUCUGAAUUUCUUUAGACCAUCUUGAAACCAAUACUGAUCUCGGCAAGUUUUAAUAAAUAUUUUGGAUUUCGUUCCGACUUCCA